Molecule: ribosomal RNA, 256 nt
Filed under: uncultured bacterium
Lineage: Bacteria
Description: partial 16S ribosomal RNA
Rfam family: Bacterial small subunit ribosomal RNA
Source: RNAcentral
UACGUAGGGUGCGAGCGUUUAAUCGGAAUUACUGGGCGUAAAGCGUGCGCAGGCGGUUAUGCAAGACAGAUGUGAAAUCCCCGGGCUCAACCUGGGAACUGCAUUUGUGACUGCAUAGCUAGAGUACGGUAGAGGGGGGAUGGAAUUCCGCGUGUAGCAGUGAAAUGCGUAGAUAUGCGGAGGAACACCGAUGGCGAAGGCAAUCCCCUGGACCUGUACUGACGCUCAUGCACGAAAGCGUGGGGAGCAAACGAGG